This 265-nucleotide unclassified non-coding RNA is filed under the name fungal sp. RNAcentral describes it as "partial internal transcribed spacer region". The stretch from base 1 to 46 matches the Rfam family "Eukaryotic small subunit ribosomal RNA". The record is from RNAcentral. Lineage: Eukaryota; Fungi.
AAGUCGUAACAAGGUUUCCGUAAAUGAACCUGCGGAAGGAUCAUUAAUGUGUAUCGUCGAUGCUCCAAGUAUCGUUCGUACCCACCCGUGUCUACCUUACCUGUUGCUUCGGCAGUGCCUGUAGCACUUGCGUGCUGCUGCUGGGAGUCCUUAAAGGACUUCGGGCUCGUUGCCUGCCGAAGAUCAUCAAACUCUUAUUAAGAAUGAAGUCUGAGAUUUAUAGCUUAAUUGCAUAAAAACUUUCAACAACGGAUCUCUUGGUUCC